GAUGAAGAGAGCUUUGCACUGUACUUAACCUCUAAUGCAGAAUUUGAUGCUGUGAUAGGAUAUUUAGAGGAUAUUAUCAAAGAUGACAAGUUCUAGUUAUUAGAGAAAUUUCAUGGACAAGUACUACUGAGAGUUUGCAGAUGCAGAAGAAAAUAAACUCAACUUCAUGCCUAUUUUUAAUGAAUAUAUUUCUUUGGUAGGAAAGUAUAUAGAACAGCUGCUGGAGAGGAUUCCUGGAUUUAACAUGGCAGUUUUCACAGCAACAUUACAGCACCAUAAGGAUGAAGUGGCUGGUGACAUAUUCAACACGCUGCUCGCAUUUAUAGAUUUUUCUGGCUUUUAAAGAAAUAUUUCUGGACUACAAAGUGGAAAAAACAGGCCAGGGACUGGACUUAAGCAGUGGUUUAGUGGUGACUUUGCCGUGCAAAUCAUCUUCUAUGCCAGCUUCCCAGAACAAUCUGCUGCACUAAG
Molecule: long non-coding RNA, 471 nt
Filed under: Homo sapiens (human)
Lineage: Eukaryota; Metazoa; Chordata; Mammalia; Primates; Hominidae
Description: non-protein coding lnc-CHSY3-1:1
Source: RNAcentral